This is a long non-coding RNA of Arachis stenosperma, 750 nucleotides long. RefSeq lists it as uncharacterized. The record is from RefSeq and is a predicted model, not a curated record. Lineage: Eukaryota; Viridiplantae; Streptophyta; Magnoliopsida; Fabales; Fabaceae. The transcript is spliced from 3 exons.
GUUUCAAAUUCUGAUCAUUGUAGAACUUGAUAGGAAGGAAUUUGAUUCAAUAGCUGUAAUCUUGCAUGUUUCUAAAUUCUAAGUGGUCGGUUCAGUCCCCUAUUGCAGCUCUUUUCCAUUUCUUGAAGAUAAGUAUUGUUCAUAAGUAUAGCAAUGGUCGUACUAAUCAGGUGAGUUGCAGAAGGAUCUAAAUGUGGGUGUAGAUGGUGAACUAGUGAACUAGUGAAGUCAAAGUUUAUCAAGUGAUUGCCCUAAUAUUGAAUAUUGAAUGGCAGGGUCAACAAGAUUUCACGUUCAGAAAUCAGAGGAGGAAUGGAGGGCCAUUCUCUGUCUGUCUCUGUCUGUCUCCCUCAUGAAUUCACAGACAGUAGAGAGAGGGCAAGGAACAGAGGAAUAGCCAAAGCACCAGGGAGCAAAAACAGGAGCGUUCUUCAAGUUUUUGGCUCUUCAUCAACCAUAGCACCAAGAGAAAGAGAAUGAUGGCCAACGAAGGAGCUGACUAAAGCUUAAGAGGGAGCUGCGUUCCACUCACCCAACUGUUCUUCGAGUUUCUUUGCUAGUUUAUUCAAUUUCUGUUAACACAACUACCACCACAAGCAAAGAGAGGUUUGGGCUCAAGAGAAAAACAGGGACAAGUCUUGUGUAUUUGAUCAACAAAGAGGUAAGGGUUAGAAUAGUUAGAUAUUGAUUUUAGUUGUAUUUGGUGAUUAAAUGGCAGAAACCUUUCCAUUUAGUAUGCUUAUUGACCAG